This 253-nucleotide ribosomal RNA is filed under the name uncultured bacterium. RNAcentral's name for it is "partial 16S ribosomal RNA". It matches the Rfam family "Bacterial small subunit ribosomal RNA", at positions 524 to 776 of the family's 1533-position model. The record is from RNAcentral.
UACGUAGGGUGCGAGCGUUAAUCGGAAUUACUGGGCGUAAAGCGUGCGCAGGCGGCGGCUCAAGUCAGGUGUGAAAUCCCCGGGCUUAACCUGGGAAUUGCGCUUGAAACUAGGCUGCUUGAGUGUGGCAGAGGGGGGUGGAAUUCCACGUGUAGCAGUGAAAUGCGUAGAUAUCUGGAGGAACACCGGUGGCGAAGGCGGCAUCCUGGACCGGCAUUGACGCUGAGGCGCGAAAGCUAGGGGAGCAAACGGG